CAGAGCCCGCCAGGAGCUAAGCCAGGGCCACACCUGGGGUGACCUCGCGGCUCACCUCCAGUAGGCACCUCGGUCUCUCCGGGCUGAUUACUAACUCUUGCUGUCCCCCAGCUGUCAUCCCUGCCUCGCCCUGGCUGCCUCAGGGGCUGACCACUCACCGCCGUCCCGCCCAUCGGGCGCGCUGAGGCCCUGGCCUGGCUUGGACCGGCUGCCCUGCCCUGCACUCCUCACUAACUCCUGCCUCCCUGCUCUGUCCCUGCAGCAGCACUAAUGGCUUGUGGAUUUCUUCCUGGCUAACAGCAGGUGUGACACGCCUUGUGACUGUCACCACCCUUAGCUUGGAUGUCGGCAUGGCCGGG
Molecule: long non-coding RNA, 359 nt
Filed under: Castor canadensis (American beaver)
Lineage: Eukaryota; Metazoa; Chordata; Mammalia; Rodentia; Castoridae
Description: Myocardial infarction associated transcript exon 5 conserved region 3 (ENSCCNG00000018680.1)
Rfam family: Myocardial infarction associated transcript exon 5 conserved region 3
About the family: MIAT (myocardial infarction associated transcript), also known as RNCR2 (retinal non-coding RNA 2) or Gomafu, is a noncoding RNA. Single nucleotide polymorphisms (SNPs) in MIAT are associated with a risk of myocardial infarction.
Source: RNAcentral